CGCACGGGUGAGUAACGCGUAUGCAACUUGCCUAUCAGAGGGGGAUAACCCGGCGAAAGUCGGACUAAUACCGCAUGAAGCAGGGGCCCCGCAUGGGGAUAUUUGCUAAAGAUUCAUCGCUGAUAGAUAGGCAUGCGUUCCAUUAGGCAGUUGGCGGGGUAACGGCCCACCAAACCGACGAUGGAUAGGGGUUCUGAGAGGAAGGUCCCCCACAUUGGAACUGAGACACGGUCCAA
RNAcentral lists this ribosomal RNA (236 nucleotides) under uncultured bacterium. RNAcentral's name for it is "partial 16S ribosomal RNA". It matches the Rfam family "Bacterial small subunit ribosomal RNA", at positions 99 to 334 of the family's 1533-position model. The record is from RNAcentral.